AUUGAACGCUGGCGGAAGGCCUAACACAUGCAAGUCGAACGCGUGGCGGACGGGUGAGUAAUGUCUGGGAAACUGCCCGAUGGAGGGGGAUAACUACUGGAAACGGUAGCUAAUACCGCGUACCAUCGGAUGUGACCAGAUGGGAUUAGCUUGUAGGGGAGGGAACGGCUACCCUAGGCGACGAUCCCUAGCUGGGCUGAGAGGAUGACCAGCCACACUGGACGUGCUACACGGUCCAGACUACUAUGUGCGGCUGCAGUGGGGAAUAUGGCACACUGCGCGAAAGCCUUAGUCAGCCGGGCCGGGUGUAUGGAGAAUGCCUUCAGGGUGUGAAGUACUUUCAGCGGGGAGGCGUUACCCGCCCAAGAAGCACCGGCUAACUCCGUGCCAUCAGCCGCGGUAAUUC
Molecule: ribosomal RNA, 406 nt
Filed under: uncultured bacterium
Lineage: Bacteria
Description: partial 16S ribosomal RNA
Rfam family: Bacterial small subunit ribosomal RNA
Source: RNAcentral